UAGGGAAUCUUCGGCAAUGGGGGGAACCCUGACCGAGCAACGCCGCGUGAGUGAAGAAGGUUUUCGGAUCGUAAAGCUCUGUUGUUAAGGAAGAACGAGUGUGAGAAUGGAAAGUUCAUGCUGUGACGGUACUUAACCAGAAAGGGACGGCUAACUACGUGCCAGCAGCCGCGGUAAUACGUAGGUCCCGAGCGUUGUCCGGAUUUAUUGGGCGUAAAGCGAGCGCAGGCGGUUAGAAAAGUCUGAAGUGAAAGGCAGUGGCUCAACCAUUGUAGGCUUUGGAAACUGUUUAACUUGAGUGCAGAAGGGGAGAGUGGAAUUCCAUGUGUAGCAGUGAAAUGCGUAGAUAUAUGUAGGAACACCGGUGGCGAAAGCGGCUCUCUGGUCUGUAACUGACGCUGAGGCUCGAAAGCGUGGGGAGCGAACAGG
This 429-nucleotide ribosomal RNA is filed under the name Bacteroidota bacterium. Its description in RNAcentral is "Bacteroidetes bacterium partial 16S ribosomal RNA". It matches the Rfam family "Bacterial small subunit ribosomal RNA", at positions 355 to 776 of the family's 1533-position model. The record is from RNAcentral. Lineage: Bacteria; Pseudomonadati; Bacteroidota.